This 425-nucleotide ribosomal RNA is filed under the name uncultured bacterium. RNAcentral's name for it is "partial 16S ribosomal RNA". It matches the Rfam family "Bacterial small subunit ribosomal RNA", at positions 354 to 796 of the family's 1533-position model. The record is from RNAcentral.
GUGGGGAAUAUUGGACAAUGGGCGCAAGCCUGAUCCAGCCAUGCCGCGUGAGUGAUGAAGGCCUUAGGGUUGUAAAGCUCUUUCAGUGGGGACGAUAAUGACGGUACCCACAGAAGAAGCCCCGGCUAACUUCGUGCCAGCAGCCGCGGUAAUACGAAGGGGGCUAGCGUUGUUCGGAUUUACUGGGCGUAAAGCGCACGUAGGCGGAUCGUUAAGUCGGGGGUGAAAUCCUGGAGCUCAACUCCAGAACUGCCUUCGAUACUGGCGAUCUUGAGUCCGGAAGAGGUGAGUGGAACUCCUAGUGUAGAGGUGGAGUUCGUAGAUAUUAGGAAGAACACCAGUGGCGAAGGCGGCUCACUGGUCCGGUACUGACGCUGAGGUGCGAAAGCGUGGGGAGCAAACAGGAUUAGAAACCCUUGUAGUCC